CCAGACUCCUACGGGAGGCAGCAGUGGGGGAUAUUGCACAAUGGGGGAAACCCUGAUGCAGCGACGCCGCGUGAGGGAAGACGGUUUUCGGAUUGUAAACCUCUGUCUUUGGGGACGAAUUGAGACGGUACCCAAGGAGGAAGCUCCGGCUAACUACGUGCCAGCAGCCGCGGUAAUACGUAGGGAGCAAGCGUUGUCCGGAAUUACUGGGUGUAAAGGGAGCGUAGGCGGGAUGGCAAGUAGAAUGUUAAAUCCAUCGGCUCAACCGGUGGCUGCGUUCUAAACUGCCGUUCUUGAGUGAAGUAGAGGCAGGCGGAAUUCCUAGUGUAGCGGUGAAAUGCGUAGAUAUUAGGAGGAACACCAGUGGCGAAGGCGGCCUGCUGGGCUUUAACUGACGCUGAGGCUCGAAAGCGUGGGGAGCAAACAGGAUUAGAUACCCCAGUA
This 444-nucleotide ribosomal RNA is filed under the name uncultured bacterium. RNAcentral's name for it is "bacterial SSU rRNA". It matches the Rfam family "Bacterial small subunit ribosomal RNA", at positions 331 to 792 of the family's 1533-position model. The record is from RNAcentral.